This 475-nucleotide ribosomal RNA is filed under the name Mycobacterium arupense. RNAcentral describes it as "Mycolicibacter arupensis bacterial SSU rRNA". It matches the Rfam family "Bacterial small subunit ribosomal RNA", at positions 28 to 504 of the family's 1533-position model. Lineage: Bacteria; Bacillati; Actinomycetota; Actinomycetes; Mycobacteriales; Mycobacteriaceae. The record is from RNAcentral.
GACGAACGCUGGCGGCGUGCUUAACACAUGCAAGUCGAACGGAAAGGCCCCUUCGGGGGUACUCGAGUGGCGAACGGGUGAGUAACACGUGGGUGAUCUGCCCUGCACUUUGGGAUAAGCCUGGGAAACUGGGUCUAAUACCGAAUAGGACCGCAUGCUUCAUGGUGUGUGGUGGAAAGCUUUUGCGGUGUGGGAUGGGCCCGCGGCCUAUCAGCUUGUUGGUGGGGUAAUGGCCUACCAAGGCGACGACGGGUAGCCGGCCUGAGAGGGUGUCCGGCCACACUGGGACUGAGAUACGGCCCAGACUCCUACGGGAGGCAGCAGUGGGGAAUAUUGCACAAUGGGCGCAAGCCUGAUGCAGCGACGCCGCGUGGGGGAUGACGGCCUUCGGGUUGUAAACCUCUUUCAGUAUCGGCGAAGCUCCAGGAUUUUUCUUGGGGUGACGGUAGGUACAGAAGAAGCACCGGCCAACUAC